RNAcentral lists this ribosomal RNA (139 nucleotides) under Brachoria sp. n. 1398. RNAcentral's name for it is "partial small subunit ribosomal RNA". Lineage: Eukaryota; Metazoa; Arthropoda; Diplopoda; Polydesmida; Xystodesmidae. The record is from RNAcentral.
AAGGUGGAUUUGUAAGUAAUUAUUUUAUAAUAUUGAUAAAUGAAGGGUGGAAUAACAUGUGUACAUAUUGCCCGUCGCUCUCGUUAUUUUUGAGAUAAGUCGUAACAUAGUUGAUGAACUGGAAAGUGUAUCUUUUUGA